UAUAUGUAGAUAGAUAGAUAGAAUGGGUAUCUGAAGAUAUUUGGAAAUUUGAUCAAUGAAACUAAGAUGAAAGACAAAAUUGAUUUUGAUAAUUGAGACGCCUGAAAAUAAUAUUUAUUGGCCACAAGGGACCCAUUAUACAAAAUCUGUCAUACGAAAUGGGUUGCAAAAUGUGUGUGUUUAUAUGUAUAAGCAUACUUAAGUCUCAUGCACACACACUCUCACAUAUAUACACAUACAUACAUGUAUGUAUAUAUAUAUAUGACAUGCAUAUAUAAGGUGGAUGGGAGAGUAAAUUUUUGAUACAGUGUUUGGAAACACAAAUAAGGGAAACCUAUCCACACAGGGAUAGGAACCUGCCAUUCUGGUAGGCUUAGGGCAGCUCAUGGCUUGGAUCCCCUGCUUCAGCUUUAAUUGAGCUGUAAAGCACCCCUCAUCCUUUUGAAGACGGGCUCUUUACAAUUCUCCUGAACUUGAUAAUUCCUCAACUGUCAAACAGCCACUGACAUGGUCUUUUACAACCAUUCAUUACCAAGGGGUGCCUGGCACUUGUUUCCCCCAUCACCACCCUUCCACCAUCUUCCUCAGUCAGUAUUUGAUUCAUCCUCUCUCAUAGUCAGCAUUACCUCAAGUAAGCUAGGCUUCUUGUUCAAAUUACCAUUAAGUUCAGGCACUCUGUGGGGAUGGGCCUCUCUUUGUGUCAAACUUCCAGCCUUUUGCUUGCCUUUUGUCUGAGUUGUUUGUACCGUACUCUCUUACCCUUGACAAUUUCCCCAUCCUUCUUCAGUUUUUGCAUUGCUCCUUAUAGCAUCUGGUUGGGCUGGAGGAAGAUCCUUGGGCAUUGUCUAUCCCUGGUACUGGUGGCUUUAAGGGUGGGGCUAUUUCUUUUGCUUCUGCUCUGGCCAUGCAUAGAAUUGUGAUUGAUAGGGCUUUGGAAUCAAUGAUAGGAGCAGGCAGGGUUUUUUGCCCCUGGGGCCUGAUAUUGUUGGUGUUGUUGCUGUUUGCCACCCUCUUUUAUUUCUUUUAUUUUGCUUUUCUUCUGGACUGAACUACCUCAAGUGGCCUUUACUAACGUACAUAUAGCAACUGGGCCUUCUGACCUACAUCACCAAUCCAGUUGACUUCCUUUCCACUCCCUCAAUUGGGUACUGCUCCAGGACAGCCUUGUAAUCAUCAAGUUGGGUGGGUGGGUAUCAGGACUUGAAGAUUCAUAGGAACCCCCAUCACCACCACUCUGCCACACAUUGCUGUGGGUCAAAUCAGCACAACACCACAUCCUGUCUAUACAACAAGCAAAGGGUCAAUAUCUUCUUGGUAUCUCUCAUUGUGAUCCUCAGAUUACUGAGGCCCAUGUACCUUAGCAUCAGCCUAUGGGUGAUUUGUGUGGUGCACCUGCUCUACCUGUCCCCUCUUGAUUUUAAUGACCAGACUCGCAUAUCCAUAUAUCGUGACUCAGUCAAUGCAACACAUCCUGUGACACUAGCAAUCAUCUAUCAUCUAAGAGUGCCUGGUACUCAUACCUCACUAUCCUCAAUCAGCACAGUAUUUGAUUCAUCCUGUUUUAUGGUCAAUAUUAAAUAAGUAAGUUAGAAUUCUCCCUUCAAAUUUACCAUAAAGUUCAGACACUCCACGAGGAUCAGCACCUCUUCAUGAGGGACUCUUAGCCUCUUGCUUGCCUUUUGUCUGGGCUCAUUUUUGCCUCGUCUUUCUUUUCUCACUGUUUCCAGCAGUUUCCCCCACCCUCAUCCAAGAUUUUCUCUCGCUCCUUUUACAAGAAAGUCCUGCUUAUAUAACUAUUUCCUUUUGGGGGUUAAUAAUUAUAAUAAUUACAAUUAUAAUUACAGAUGGACUGGCAGAACUAAUAGAAUAUAAGAUUAUCCAAUAUUAUUUCACUUUGUCAUUUUUAGUUCUGUGUUCAUAUCCUAAUGGUAUUUGAUUUUGUAUUUUAUAAUCCUGGGUCUGAUAAAUUAAGUACUAAUUUAUGCACUGUGAUUUGUUAUCCAACUAUACUUCAAAAUUCAUGUCUUUGUGCCAAUGUUAGAAACUGUUGUUAUUUGAGUGCAGUUGAUAAAAAAAAAUCAAAAACCUCAGUAAUUAACUGGUACUUGUAUUUUAUCAAUCCAAAUGUGGCGGGCUGGCAGAAUCAUUAUCACACUGGACAAAAAUACUUAGCAUCAUUCCUUCUGGCUCUUUAUGUUCUGAGUUCAAAUCCCACUGAGAUUGACUUUGUCUUUCAACAUUUCAGGGUUGAUAAAAUAAAUACCAGUUGAGUUGCUGGGGUCAAUAUAAUCUACUCACCCCUGCCCUCAAAAUUGCAGGCCUUGUGCCAAAAUAAGAAAGAAAUUUAUUUUAUCGACCCAUUCACUCCUCUUCUCUUGAAGGAUGAGAGGCAAAGUUGACCCCGUCAGGGUUCAUUCUCAGAAAAUGUUUCCCCUGCUGGUUUCAUCUUUGCUCACAUUCUCCUAGGGCUACAGUGAAGUGCUGGGGUUGAUGGGGUUGCUAGAAAUAACUGUUACCCUCACCACAAAUCUCUGGCCUUGUGCCUGUAUUAGAAACCAUUUUUAUUAUUAUUAUAAUUAUUUGUUGUUGUUGUUGCUAUUUUUGUUACAGUUCAGUAGUUGGUGUACAACCAAUUCUGAGAAUUACUCUUAGACUGAUAAGACUUCUAAAGAAGGCAUGAACAUUACAACAUCCUGUUUUCUUCCCUCUAGCCCUCUCUUUUGUAAAUCUGAGACCACCUUUCUACUUGAAAUAAAAAUCUAUCAUAUUAAUACUGUACACCUGAGAACACACUGUAAAACAAAGGUAAGCUCCCAGCUGAGUUUCAAACCAAGAUUGCUUGCAUUUCACUUCACUUGAAAAAUUAAUGUAUUUGGGAAAAGGCAUGAAAAAAAAAAAAUCACAGUUUCUGGUUCUAACUUUUCUAAAAAUGAAUCAUGUCUGAAGCCUUUGUACUUACA
RNAcentral lists this long non-coding RNA (2960 nucleotides) under Octopus sinensis (East Asian common octopus). RNAcentral describes it as "uncharacterized LOC118766480". Lineage: Eukaryota; Metazoa; Mollusca; Cephalopoda; Octopoda; Octopodidae. The record is from RNAcentral.